Fukomys damarensis (Damara mole-rat) is the source of this 2308-nucleotide long non-coding RNA. RefSeq lists it as uncharacterized. The record is from RefSeq and is a predicted model, not a curated record. NCBI's taxonomy places the organism in Eukaryota, Metazoa, Chordata, Mammalia, Rodentia, Bathyergidae. The transcript is spliced from 3 exons.
GGAAGAGCAGAGCGGUGGGGUGGGGAGGCCGGCGGACCUGGGAUUGUCGCUGCAGCACUGUGUGCAGUGGCAAAGACUGGAGCCGCCUGGGUGCCCAUCAGUAGGGAGUAAAUAAAUACCAAAGCCUUCUGCAGUCUCCAGAGAGAACGAGGCCACUUACUACUCCAGGGAAUAUUGCGAGGAACCAGACCUCCCGGAUUCCCAGUCCCAUGGUACCAAACCCGACCAGUAAACAACGGCAACACUGAAAGCAAACUGAAACAUGGAGCUCAAGCGAGAGGAGGUGUGCGGCGGACGGCGGCUGCCACAGGGAGAGCACCGUGAGGGGAUCUCUGAGAAGGUGACGUUCGGUCUGGGGCGGGAAUGAGAAAAAGGAAAUAAGUACAAAGAAGGCAAGGAUGGGACAGUCUCUGGCUGCAGGAAGAGCCAUUGCAAAGGCCCUGGGGUCACAGUAAGCUUCGCUAUGGGAGAAACGGAAUGGUGGCCAGUGUGGCUAGAGCUUGGAGAGCCAGAGUGAGAGGAGAGCCAGGUGGGGAGUCGAGCCUGUGGUGCUCUGGACUUGGUAAGGAGUCCAGACGAGGAAACUGAGGCUCAGAGAGGUUCUAAGUCAUUUGUCCAAGGUCACAUAUUAAACAGUGGCUGAACCGGGCUUCUGGCCUGGGUUCCUGAAGCCACCAGUCCUUCACCAUCCAUAAGGUGGCACAGGGCAGAAACAUCAGACAUGCGUUUCCUUCCAGCACAGCCUGUGUGCAGAGAGCAAUGCUGUUUUUUUUUUUUUUAUUGCACAGAGACAUGCAUGUGUCCCACAGAAAGAGCACAGAGCAUGCUCCCCACGUGGAUGCCUCCCCUGUGACCAGCACCCAGAUGAGCCCCCGCGGUCUCCUCCAGGAUGGAAAACCGGUGUGGCAUCACCACCCAACGGAGUAUUGUGCAGCCGCAGGAAGGGACAUGGAUGGACCUCAAAGCCACGCCGAGAGCGAGGAGCCAGUCACGAGGGCGCCUGCGGGAAGAUCCCACUGAUGUGCACCACCCGGAAGAGGUGGUUACAGAGACGGAGAGGGCAGUGGUGCUCCGGGGCUGGGGUAGGGGGAUGGGAGCCGCUGCUGAGGCGCGUGGGGCUUCUUCUGGGGGGUUACGAUGAUCUGUGGGUGCACCAGAGAUCAUGGAAUUGCAUGCCCGGGAAGAGUGGACUUUAUCGUGUGUGAAUUAUAUCUCAAUGAGGUGGUCAUUUAAAAAAUAAAAAGGAAAGGGUGAAAUGGCUGAGGCUGCUCUGGGACUUUUAGAAAACGCUAGCCUCACUGUGAACGGAAGGACCUUGUCUUCCCGUGCCUCGAUGUCUCUGUCCGUGAAAUGGGCUACUCAAGAGUCGAAGGGACUCAGCGGGCCUUUGGGGGACUCCGAGAGGCGAUGCCAAUGGAAGCUGAGCCCACGGCUGGCACACGGCUGGCACUUGGGAGAAGUCGUGAUGACAAACGAUAAAGGGUCCCAGGGCGGCGAGGUGUGAGCCACGUUCCACUUGAGUCCCCUGCCCUGGGGCUGCUCUGUUCCUCUCUCUAGAUGUCAGGAGUUUAUCUGAAAAAUGGGUUCACAACGGCGCCCACCUCGAAGGCUGUGGUAACAAUGACUUAGCAGCUCCCGGCGCACAGCAGGUGCGACAUAGUUGCUGUAUCACUCUGGGCAUUUCCUCGGGCCUGCUGGUGCUGCCCCUGCCUCCACUGUCCACAGAACAGCAAUGAUGCCAACAUUAACAGGGAGCAGGAGGCGACCACAGCAGGGAAGGGCAGGGAUGGCGCGAGGUGGGAGGACCGGGGAGGAGAGCGGGGAGGCUGGGAGCUCAGCCCACCCUGGUCCGCUGUCACUCUGUACCCGGACCACUUCAGUAGGUCCUCACUGCGGCCACCCUAUCCCCAUCCUACUCAGCGUGCACUCACACACACCACACACUCACACACACACAUGCCAUUGUCCACAUGCAGCUAGAAGGAAUUUGUCUGACCACAUCCCCCCUCUGCCUACAAUUCUCCAUGGUUCCCCCCUCCCUCAGAGUAAAAGCCAAAGAUCCUACAAGGUCAUCCACUGUUGGCAGCCUUGUUAUGUCUCUGACCUCUCCCUCACUCUUGCCCUAUGCAUGGCUCUCCAGUGGCACUGGCUUCCUCACCGCUCCCCAGAGCACAAGGUGCCCUCCUGCCUCAGGACCUCUGCACAUGCUACUCUCUCUGCUGGACCAUUCUCCUCGCAGAUCUCCCCAGGCUUGCUUCCUGGCUUGCUCUGGGUCUGCUUGGUUUGGAAGCCGUUUGACUGUGACCCU